This 1188-nucleotide ribosomal RNA is filed under the name Triticum aestivum (bread wheat). Its description in RNAcentral is "partial small subunit ribosomal RNA". The record is from RNAcentral. Lineage: Eukaryota; Viridiplantae; Streptophyta; Magnoliopsida; Poales; Poaceae.
AUGGCUGGGCGUCGUAACUUUUUCUCCUUCAAUAUAUGGCACACAUGCUUGUUCACAUUCGAGGAGGAAAAGAGCAGUCAAAUAGAUCUCACAUCUCCUCGCGAUAUGCUUGGGUAUGAUGUAUACUCCCUCUGUAACCUACAUCGGGAGACUCGGUUUGGACACGGAUUUUGCCCGGGGACAGUUUUUGUGGAAGGGAGGGUAUCGUCCGCAUGCUCUUUUAUCCUUCUCCGUCGUCCCUUGUUCACCCCGGCCGGGGCGGUGGAUCUCGGGGUUAUCACAGCUCGCUGGCUAGCUCGGCGACAGCUUUCCCUCUCCCCGGACGGACCAUGUCAUGAUCCGCUUGAAAACCGACGGAGCUGGACGCCGCCACUCUCCUCUCACCGGUCGUCCUGCGCCGCCCCGCGCCGCCUCCGCUCGUCCAGCCACCUGACGCCGACGCGCCACUCCGGCAGCCGGCCCUCUACUCCUCCCCACUCCCCAGGCUCCGCCGCCCGUUCACCCAACGCCGACGCCCCACUCCAGCAGCUCGCCGACCAGCCCCGCAAGGUCCUAAGUCCACAAAUCCUCCUCCUGUCUUCUCCUCAUUUGCCAUCAAGCUCCCCACGGAUGGGCUGGUGCUCCCCGUCCACUCCCCGGCAGCUGCUAUCCACUGUCGCACUCUUUGCCUUCGGCGCGGGGCUCCUCACCUACGGCGCACACCUCUCCUACGUCCACAUCGAGCCCCAGCGCGAGCGCACGCUCGCCCGCGAUCAGUGUCGGGCUUGUGAUUGCGGAGAUGGAGAUGAACACCCGCGCCGACCAGGAUGCCACUAUCGUGUGGGCCACUGUUGUGCAGGCCUGCAGCAUGUUCUACGACACCCCUGCAAUGCUCGGUACGUGCUCCGACUUUGGUUUCCCUGUUGUUUCCUAUUGGUGCUAGUAGCUCAUAUGGAACUUGGUGAUAUGUUUGCAGACAUUGGUGAAAUUGUUCGUGCAAAGUUUGAUUUCGACGCUGUGGGACACUUAUGUUUGCAGACACUGGUGAAAUUGUUGGUGAAAUUGUUCGUGCAAGCGCUGUGGGACACUACACACAGGGCUGAGGUGCUGAGCUUGACCGCGAAUACCGAUCUGAGACACGCUGCGUCUUUCGCUUCUACUGACGGACAAGAUCCAAGGCACAAGAGUGACAAUGUUUCGAGGACCUGA